Molecule: ribosomal RNA, 465 nt
Filed under: Vreelandella stevensii
Lineage: Bacteria; Pseudomonadati; Pseudomonadota; Gammaproteobacteria; Oceanospirillales; Halomonadaceae
Description: partial 16S ribosomal RNA
Rfam family: Bacterial small subunit ribosomal RNA
Source: RNAcentral
CCUACGGGAGGCUGCAGUGGGGAAUAUUGGACAAUGGGCGAAAGCCUGAUCCAGCCAUGCCGCGUGUGUGAAGAAGGCCUUCGGGUUGUAAAGCACUUUCAGUGGGGAAGAAAGCCUUGGGGCUAAUACCCUCGAGGAAGGACAUCACCCACAGAAGAAGCACCGGCUAACUCCGUGCCAGCAGCCGCGGUAAUACGGAGGGUGCGAGCGUUAAUCGGAAUUACUGGGCGAAAAGCGCGCGUAGGCGGUCUGAUAAGCCGGUUGUGAAAGCCCCGGGCUCAACCUGGGAACGGCAUCCGGAACUGUCAGGCUAGAGUGCAGGAGAGGAAGGUAGAAUUCCCGGUGUAGCGGUGAAAUGCGUAGAGAUCGGGAGGAAUACCAGUGGCGAAGGCGGCCUUCUGGACUGACACUGACGCUGAGGUGCGAAAGCGUGGGUAGCAAACAGGAUUAGAUACCCCAGUAGUC